AGAGUUUGAUCCUGGCUCAGGAUGAACGCUAGCUACAGGCUUAACACAUGCAAGUCGAGGGGCAGCAUGGUCUUAGCUUGCUAAGGCCGAUGGCGACCGGCGCACGGGUGAGUAACACGUAUCCAACCUGCCGUCUACUCUUGGACAGCCUUCUGAAAGAAAGAUUAAUACAAGAUGGCAUCAUGAGUCCGCAUGUUCACAUGAUUAAAGGUAUUCCGGUAGACGAUGGGGAUGCGUUCCAUUAGAUAGUAGGCGGUGUAACGGCCACCUAGUCUUCGAUGGAUAGGGGUUCUGAGAGGAAGGUCCCCANAUUGGAACUGAGACACGGUCCAAACUCCGUACGGGAGCA
RNAcentral lists this ribosomal RNA (349 nucleotides) under uncultured bacterium. Its description in RNAcentral is "bacterial SSU rRNA". It matches the Rfam family "Bacterial small subunit ribosomal RNA", at positions 8 to 349 of the family's 1533-position model. The record is from RNAcentral.